This 427-nucleotide ribosomal RNA is filed under the name uncultured bacterium. Its description in RNAcentral is "bacterial SSU rRNA". It matches the Rfam family "Bacterial small subunit ribosomal RNA", at positions 355 to 774 of the family's 1533-position model. The record is from RNAcentral.
UGGGGAAUUUUGGACAAUGGGCGCAAGCCUGAUCCAGCAAUGCCGCGUGCAGGACGAAGGCCUUCGGGUUGUAAACUGCUUUUGUACGGAACGAAAAGACUCCUUCUAAUAAAGGGGGUCCAUGACGGUACCGUAAGAAUAAGCACCGGCUAACUACGUGCCAGCAGCCGCGGUAAUACGUAGGGUGCGAGCGUUAAUCGGAAUUACUGGGCGUAAAGCGUGCGCAGGCGGUUUUGUAAGACAGUGGUGAAAUCCCCGGGCUCAACCUGGGAACUGCCAUUGUGACUGCAAAGCUAGAGUGCGGCAGAGGGGGAUGGAAUUCCGCGUGUAGCAGUGAAAUGCGUAGAUAUGCGGAGGAACACCGAUGGCGAAGGCAAUCCCCUGGGCCUGCACUGACGCUCAUGCACGAAAGCGUGGGGAGCAAACA